Molecule: long non-coding RNA, 580 nt
Filed under: Amborella trichopoda
Lineage: Eukaryota; Viridiplantae; Streptophyta; Magnoliopsida; Amborellales; Amborellaceae
Description: long non-coding RNA (ATRI_LNC000368)
Source: RNAcentral
AGAGAAGGGCUUGUUAAUAGGGAAUCGUAGCAUUUGGCAAAGCUGUGCUUGGUGACAAGGAGAAAUGGGAGCUGACGUGAACUAUACAACUCAUGUGGCGUAGGAUAAUGAUAAGAAGGAUGAAACAAGUCUGGAGAGAGAAAUAGGGCUCGUUUCAUUUUAUUGGGUUUUUCUCUGUAAAAUCAGCAAGAAUCUGUGGUUCAAUGGGGUUUUUCUGUGUAAUUUGCAGGUUUCAAAGCUUGUGGUUCUAGAGAGAAAGAUGACUCUUUUCAUUUUUUUGAGUCUUUCUCUGUAAAAUGAGCAAAAAGACUGUGGUGUAAUGGGGUUUUUCUCUGUAAUUUGCAAGUUUUAAAGCUUGUGGUUCUAGAGAGAAACAUGGCUCUUUUCAUUUUCUUGGGUUUUUCUUUGUAAAAUCAACAAGAAGACUACGAUUCAAUGGGGUUUUUCUCUGCAAUUUGCAGGUUUCAAAGCUUCUAGUUUUAACGAGAGAAACAUGGCUCUUUUCAGUUUUUUUGGGGUUUUCUAUGUAAAAUCAGCAAGAAGACUGGGGUUCAAUGGGUUUUUCUCUGUAAUUAUGGGA